UUUUAUCUCAAUUUUUUGUUAUUGAUUCAUUUAUUUAGUGAAUUUAUUUGCUGGAAGUUGGUUCAAUAGCUGUUCCUUUUAAUUGAAUGCCAAAGUUUCAGAUUUUUUUUUUUAACAGAAUAGCCAAGAGCUAAAAUUUUGUUGUGAGUUAGAAUUGCUCGUGUUGCUUUGGAACUCAGUGAAUUGAAGUUUAAAUUUGGAGUGUUGAGCGAUUCACCCGUUAAAUUUAGCCAGUCUCAUUAGUCUGUGUACGCCAUUAUAGAAAUACAGCAGGAAAUUAGUUUUUCUGAAGAAAAUGGAGUCUCUGAGGGGUUAUGCUGUUAGGGCCAAUGAGGCAUCUUUUCUGAAUGCCCUCAUGUUAUUGGAAAUAUUAACAAUCUCUUAUGGUUGCUUCUUCAUGAUCAGCAGUGGCAUUUCUGUCUCCCAAGACAAAUAUUUGGCCCGCUGAACUCACAAUUGUGCGUUUGAUUUUUUGUGUUAGUUUGAUCACAUUUCUGUUAUAUGUAAUGGAAUAACCUUCUGAACUUAUAAAGUCUAUCUAUUUGUAACUCCUACAUGGUGUUUCUUUUCUGUACUUAUGCUAGAGAACUUGAAUUUAAAUUAGACAUGAAUUAAAUUUGCACGAGUUAAUUUCUUUUGGUGGAUUCUUCAAUCUUUGUCAUUUUUUCCUAUCCCAAAUAAUAGGAUGCAGGUAAUAUAAAGUGUUUUAAACCUUAGAUAUAUGAUCUCUCCCCUGACACCCAUCUUAAUCAGUGCAUUUUUUGAACUGAUUUCCUGGUUUUAUGAAGUUCAGUUUAUGAGUUUUGAGUACCAUGUAGAAAUGCAACUUAGCUACUCUCUGUUAGAGAUAUUCUCGGUGGUCCAUUUGUAGGGCUCUCUCCUAGCACUUACAAGAUUUUCUAUGAAUAAUAUGCCAGACAUAAUACUAAUUUAUUUUCGUUCUAUGCUGCUUUCUAUUGUUUGCUUAAGUUGUUUUUGCAUAUGCAAGUCAGUUCUACCAUUCAUUGGAUAUUUGGGAUACAAGGGAGAAUAACCAAAACAUAGAUAGUUUUAUUUGAUAGCUCAUUCCUUGUUAAGAUCAUUCAUCUAGUUUUAUGUUUGAUUGUCUAGUUUCUCUUCUUUAGUGUUUGUUGGUUUUUUGAAUGGUGACCGUAUCUGGACUUUUGUUUUAUGUCUGCAGAGGCUUUGGAAUUUCUCAACAG
Molecule: unclassified non-coding RNA, 1202 nt
Filed under: Hevea brasiliensis (rubber tree)
Lineage: Eukaryota; Viridiplantae; Streptophyta; Magnoliopsida; Malpighiales; Euphorbiaceae
Source: RNAcentral